GGACGUGAGGGUGAUCUGGCUGUGACACCUGUAACCCUGGCAAUCUCCAGGGUUGAUUCGGCUGAUCUGGCUGGUUAGGUAGGUGUUCCCUUCCUCCCCCACCACUUCUUGUGCAUCCCUCCUGAAGCUGCAUGCUUGGUCAAAGUGGACAACCAUCCCUGAUAGAGGAGGAUCCAUCUUCCAUCAAGGGUAUAUGAGUAGCUGCUCCACUGCUAGAACCUCCAAACAAGCUCUCAAAUAGGUGGGGUUUUUAAUUUUGUUGUUGUUGUUGUUUUCUUUUACUUUUUCUUUUUUGUGACAGCGUCGCCAUCUGUCACCCAGG
This 322-nucleotide small nuclear RNA is filed under the name Callithrix jacchus (white-tufted-ear marmoset). RNAcentral describes it as "7SK RNA". It matches the Rfam family "7SK RNA". From Rfam's summary of the family: 7SK was discovered as an abundant small nuclear RNA in the mid-70s but a possible function has only recently been suggested. Two independent studies have found that 7SK RNA binds the CDK9/cyclin T complex (known as elongation factor P-TEFb). Lineage: Eukaryota; Metazoa; Chordata; Mammalia; Primates; Cebidae. The record is from Rfam by way of RNAcentral.